AGGAAUUCAAUGGCCGCAGUAUUUUAACUGUGCUAAGGUAGCAUAAUCAUUUGUCUUUUAAUUGAGGGCUGGAAUGAAAGGUUGGACGAAAUACUUACUUUCUUUAAUUUAAUUUUAAGAAUUUAAUUUUUGGGUUAAAAAGCUUAAAUUUAUUUGUUGGACGAGAAGACCCUAUAGAUCUUUAUAAUUUUAUAUUUUAAUAAUUUAGUGGUUAUAUUUAUUAUAAGUAAAAGGAUUAUUUUGUUGGGGUGACUGUAGAAUUUUAUAAACUUCUAUUAUUUUUAUUUCAUUGAUUAAUGUUUUUUUGAUCCAUAUAUUUAUGAUUAUAAGAUUAAGUUACCUUAGGGAUAACAGCGUAAUUUUUUCGGAGAGUUCAUAUUGAUGAAGAAGUUUGCGACCUCGAUGUUGGAUUAA
Molecule: ribosomal RNA, 414 nt
Filed under: Triatoma dimidiata (kissing bug)
Lineage: Eukaryota; Metazoa; Arthropoda; Insecta; Hemiptera; Reduviidae
Description: partial large subunit ribosomal RNA
Rfam family: Bacterial large subunit ribosomal RNA
Source: RNAcentral